AAUUCAUUCAAUUUGUAAAAUAAAAAGAGAAAAGAAUAUGGCUAAAAAUUUCAAGUUUAUUUAUGCUAUAAUUUUAUUUCUUUUCUUAGUUCAUCUUUCAAUGGUGGAAGCUGGCUAUGUAGGUAUUCCUUGUAAAACUGAUGAAAAUUGCCCUUUUCCUAGAUUUCAGAGUGUUAGGCCUAAUAUGGUGACUGACUUUUAUACGUGUAUUAAUAAAUGGUGUAUCAUGUUUAACAGGUUAUAGCAAAGACCAUAGUUGCAAGGGAAAUAUCAAAGACAUAUAUAAUAUACUUUAUGGUAGAAUGUUGCAUGAGUGGUCAUUUAAGAUUUAUUCUUACAACCAAUACUUGUAUUUUUCAUAUAAUUUUUCCACUACAGAAAAAAAGGGCUUCUGCCACGCCUAGGAAACCGAGGCUAUAUGCAAAAUAACCGUGGCGUAACGCUGAGGGUACGGUUUGGCCACGGAAAUCCAACUGUGGAGUAUGCGGUCGUGGCCUAAAGUAAAGUCCACGGUUUUUUGGUAUAGACCACGCCUUUUUGACAACCGUGGCUUUUUUAGGCCACGAUUUAUGUAGCUUGAUUAAGGUCGUGGUUUGUAUUUGCCAUGACUGCAAAACUGUGGCUAUAUGGUAAAGCCACGGUUUCAAUUUAACGUUUACGACACAAUAUUGGUUCAAGAUAUAGCCACAGUUUAGUUAUGACCACCUAUUUAAAACCAUUGUUAUAUGUUAUUCUUUCUAAACCA
Molecule: long non-coding RNA, 745 nt
Organism: Vicia villosa (hairy vetch)
Lineage: Eukaryota; Viridiplantae; Streptophyta; Magnoliopsida; Fabales; Fabaceae
Exons: 2
Source: RefSeq, a predicted model, not a curated record